This is an RNA transcript of Dreissena polymorpha, 8194 nucleotides long. It is a transcript of the gene named protein still life, isoform SIF type 1-like, with no coding region annotated. The record is from RefSeq and is a predicted model, not a curated record. Lineage: Eukaryota; Metazoa; Mollusca; Bivalvia; Myida; Dreissenidae. The transcript is spliced from 28 exons.
UCUCUUAAAAGAAAGUCUGGAAUCAGUAAAACAUAUGGACAAGUUUAGUUUUGAAUCAAUGGGUUUCCUAAUACAAAAAUCUAAAAAUAAACUUAUAAUUGCAUGGCAAAAAAUUUUUAUUCUGGCUUAUCAACAUAAUAUCAAAAUUAAUAAAUGGCUGCACAAAUGAACGACUUGAUAAUGGCCCCAACAAAACAAAACUGGGCUUCAUCAUGCCACACUAAAACAAAAGGUAUUUUGAAGCUUCACUUAAACAUAUCAGUGUAAGAAAAGAACUCUGAACCCACAGGAGGAAUUUUGUAUUAAUUAAAAGAAGGAUUGCCAUGGUGUUAGUUCAAAGAACGCUGAAAUGUGGAUAUAAGUGACUGUCUUUGGGAAUAAUUGUUAUCUGUGAAACGAUGCCGCAUGUAAGGGAGGAGGAGUCCUGCGGAAAACAACUAUGGGCAGAGAUAUUUGCUGUGAAGGGAAGCGGCGACUUCAUGCAAUGGAAGAGGGUCUCGGAAGACGUUGUCCCUAUCAACAUCACAUGCAUCGAGGACACGCCAAAAACUGUCUUCCAGGUGACCGCGUAUAACAAACAUGUGGAAAAGAUAUUCGACAUAAAGAUCGUUCAACCAGGUACAAUUCUCUGCCCUGCAACUGACAGCUUUGUCCACUGGCGUGACCAGGGCAAUGGUAGCGAAUGGGGGCUCAACUUCACCACGCCCGCUGAUGCCAAGCGUUUCCGUGACUGUUGUUCAGUGACCACACAGAAGUAUGUAAGGAAGGCGUCAUCAGCGAACUCUCUGAGACUGAGUCCUCCAAAGGGUAAAGGGAAGGCAGAAUCCUCCCCCAAUUCCCCCAUACACGACACACAACGAGCGGUCUCAAGUCCGUACGAUUUAAACACAGUAGAGCCUUGUGAAUGCAUUACGCCCUCUGGUGACCAUGACUUGUACAACAAGUCUGACAAAGCUGCAACUAUCCCUCGAGCACAGUCUAACUCAGGCUCCAAAUCUCAACCUAGGAGCAUUUUGAAGUCGUCCACUAUGUCCUCCUCAGUGACGUAUGAUCGUGACAGUUCUGAACCUCAGUGUGGAAAUGUUGGUGCAAAUAGUUCGGAACACUACCAUGGUACCCGGUCUGCGUCUGCAGGACCGUUGUCAGGGGAGGGAGUUCUGUUUGACUCGGGAACCAGACAGUCUGCUUUUGGUUCCUUCAGACGGCCGACAUCAAAAACAGCAGAGAACAUAUGUGUAGAGACUGCUUUCAUUGGCAGAGUGGACGACCCCCGUAACAUCGAAGCAGAAAAUGGAAGAAAAAGUGUUACCAUAGCAACACAGCAUACUGAGAAUGAGUACGAGGUAACCAGUCCUGUAGAAAACGAGAAUGAAAAUCACAGCACUGGUGUUACUGUUCACAAGGACUGCAUUCGAAUACUGGCGCCUCAGCCUCAGAGGUUGUUACCAGACUCCCCCCGGGGUUCUCGGCACUCGGAAUCUCCGGAAUGGCCUUCACCCCCCGAACCUUUGACCCCUCAGACUCCACUUACUCCCACCUACCACCUCGAGUUUGACAGUGACUCAAUCAAAAGAAUGCUAGAGAAUCUACCCAUUUCACCUGAUGCGAUUUCUAUGACUGGAAGUAUGCACGAGAACGAUCAAGGGUUUCACGAUGAUUCAAGAGGGAAUUGCAAGGUCAGCGAAAAAUUGAGCAGUGGUAAUGAAAAUAGUGAGUGUUGUGGUGCAGAAGAAAUGUUUAGUGGUGAAUACAAAGGCCACUGUGGUGGGAAUGUUAACCAGUCUAAAUGUGUGAAUAAGGCGUCAGACUGUGACAGAGGCUCUCGGGAUGGAGUCCGUGAUAGUUUUGGACGGGAUUCGAAUCCAGACUCAGGCAUCGGAGGGAUGACAGGAGAUGGGACAGUGUCAGUUCUGUCGGGGGGAAGCCCCAACCAGUCAGGCUUGGAUUUGUCCCGCACUGAGCUGAAGGGGGGGUCCACAGGGGCCAGUAGCCAUGGUAGCAACUCCAGUCACAUGAGUCAGAGCGACCUCAUCAGUCAGUUUGCAGACGGACAGUUCCUGGCCGCAGAGAUGUCAGAUGAAGACGCAGGCAGCAAUGACAGCAUCCACACUGUGACUGAGGCAGAGAGUCAGUUCUCCUAUGCCAAACAACACGGCGCCAUACGCAAGGCAGGGUGGCUGGUGGUGAAGAACUGGCUGGUGCAGAAGAAGAGGAAGUUGGAGCUGGCUCCCAGACGCACAUGGAAGAAGUACUGGGUCUGCUUGAAGGGAACCGUCAUACUUUUCUAUGAUGGGGACAUGGACAAUGUGACCCUUGACGACAAUGUUCCCAGACACAUGCUAGUUAUCGAAGGUGGGAUUUCCCAAGGCGUCCCAGAACAUCCCAAGCGGGACUUCAUAUUCUCCCUAAGUACUUCAUUUGGGGAUGCAUAUUUGUUUCAGGCAUCUAGCCAGACCGAGCUGGACUCGUGGGUAUGUGCAAUACACUCAGCAUGUGCGGGCUCGUUUGCAAGGCAGCAUGGGAAGGAAAACAUUGUACGUCUGCUCAGAUCUGAACUACACAAACUGGAAACAAACAUCGACAUUGAUGUAAAAAUGCGGAAAAUGGCAGAACUCCAGUUGACGGUUGUGUCUGACCCGCGCAGUCGACAGGCCAUUAUCAAACAGAUCAACCAAUGGGAGGAGAAUUUGGAGAAGCUAUUUAUAGAACAGUACCGUCUGCGAUGUUACUCCUCCUCCAUCCAAGGCUCUGAACUUCCCAAUCCAAAGGUGCUACUUGCAAACGUGUCCAAGACCUCAAAAGGAACUCUGAGUCGACUGGGAAUCUUCACAGUUUCUUCAUUCCAUGCUCUUGUGUGCGCGCGUAAGCCCCUCGUUAUGCCGAGCCUGUACGGGAAGGGGCAGCAGAAAGGGGGGCUGCUGUCCCCUAGAGGGGACGGGAUGUUCAAAUACCACACCAUGAGGCCGACCUCAUCCAGUGCUAACCAGAGCAUGUACAAAGCCUCAGAGCUGGAUGAGGUGGUGGGAGACUUGAUUAGUAAGGACAGCAGUGGCAGCCAAUCCCCUUGCGGCUCUACCGGCUCUAGUGAAGUCCUCUCCAAGGUGGCAGUGCCUAACAAUCAGAGUGUGACGAUGGGCAUCAAGAAGUCAACGACAGCAGAAGACGUUUUGCUGACGGUAUGCAGCAGACGACAACUCAACCCUCGCGACCACUAUGUCCGCGUCAGACUGCAGGGGGCACCAGAGGGCAGCUACCAGUACCCCGAUAGGAAGGAAAAUAUCAGGAAACUUCGCUGUGAACUAGUGGAAGUUUGUCAGAAGUACAUGUAUCGGGUAGAAUUAUCAAAAUGCGAGAAGCACAGAGACUUUGGUCUAAAAAUAGAAGCAGAACUGGCAGAAGAUUUUGAUAAGGAAGAUGAUUUGAGAAUCUACGUCACAGAAGUUCGACCCAGCAGCCUGUCUGAUCAGAAAGGGAUGCGAGCCAGCGACGAGAUUGUGAUCAUCAAUGGUAAGAUCGUCUCCGACCUUGACAUGGUGUACGUGGAGCAACUUCUCACCGAGUCAACCUCCAUAUGCUUCACCGUUCGCUCCAUGUUCCAGCCCAGCGGGGCUGUUACUAUGGAAACCCCGCCCUCGCUACCUCCCCCACCCACCCAGUCACGCAUCAGUGACAACAGUAUUGAAUCUCUGAAGAUACCACCACCCUCGACAGGAAGUACCUCUAGCUCUGUGAACACGAGCUGUACAAGUUCUCCGCACCACUCUCAAACUGGAAACAAGAUUCAAUCAAGCACAGAUCAGGUGGAUGCUCUCCUACAGGGUGCAGACCAGGUGACAGCCAUAUGCAGGGAGCCAGGUGAGGAGGUUGUCAAUAGCAACCGGCAGCUGUCAGAGGUGGAGAGGUUACACAAGGUCAUCAAGGAGCUCGUAAACACGGAGGAGGCGUACGUCAAUGACUUGAAUUGUCUACUGAAACGCUUCUUAGAGCCUUUGAAGGAGGAAAGCUUUCUGACAUCAGAUGAGAUUGAUCACAUCUUUGGCAACAUUCAGGAAAUAGCCGUGUUUCAGCGACAGUUUUUACAGAGUCUAGUCGAGUCCAUCGGUCAUGACAGUGAAUUUCUCACUGGAGCAGACAUGAAAAGCUACAGGCGGGUCCUGUUCUCCCUGGGAGGGUCUUUCCUAUUCUACGCCAAUCACUUCAAAGUCUACAGCUCCUUCUGUGCAAGCCACUCCCGAUCUCAGAAAAUAUUGAACCCAGACACAAUCAACGAGAAGUUAAAAGAGUUCCUGAUAGCGCGAAACCCAAAGCACCAGCACUCUGCCACGCUGGACUCCUACCUGAUCAAGCCCAUACAGCGAAUACUCAAAUACCCGCUGCUCCUUCAGCAGCUGUGUAAUCUCACGGACCCCGAGUCUGACGAGCAUCACCACUUGUCAGAGGCGAGGAAAGGGAUGGAGGCGGUGGCAGAACAUAUCAACGAGAUGCAGAAGAUCUAUGAGGAAUACGGUGCAAUAUUUGACGACCUUUCCAAGAUGUUCAAGGACAUUUAUCCUCUGAAAACUCCUGCAGACCUGAGUGUAGGCGAGCUGCAGAUGUAUGGCACGGUGGAGUGGUGUAACGUCACAGACAGUCUGGGCAAGGUCAAGAAAGGGACAGAACUGGAGAGCACCGUGUUUGUCUUCAAGACUGGAGUAGUCUUCCUUUGUCGGGAAAGGUUGAAACGAAGAAAAUCUAAAGGGGUACAUAUGAAUGGCUUUGGGGCCAGCGCUGCUCGCGGUCUGUUCAGUGAGAGUUACGACACGGCAGAGAGAUUCCGUACGUUGAUUCCCGUGCAGGAUGUCCAGGUGCGCAUUGGGAAGGUCGGCGAUAUGGAUGGGCACUUCUGGUGGGAGCUCGUACACUCACGCUGUGACACUGAGGCUAGACCAGAACGGGUCUACCAGUUCUGUAAUAGUACUUUGGAAGCAAAAACGGACUUUAUGAGGAUAAUACGUCAGACAAUUCGUGACUGUGUUCGUAAGAUGAACUUGCCAUCAAGUGGUAGCAGCUCGAGUAAAAAUAAAUACAUUCCAUGCGGUGGCAAACGCCUUGAGGCUUUACAGACUAAUUCCCGUAGCACCUUAAGUAAGAAACGUAAUAACUCUAAUGGUAAAACAGAUGUGGAGAGACAUUCAAUGGAGCUUGAAGAGAAGUUUAAAAUUGACGAAGAAGGCGUGUUCAGAAUGCGAAGCAAAACAGUUGGCGAUUUGAACGAAAAUCUCAGUGAGUCUGAGGAAAAUGAAGCAGAGUUUGUGUGAGAGAGUGUAAUGUACAGAAAUCUCAUCGGCAUGAUAUGGUACAACGAAGGGCCAGUUUUCCUCGUGCAAGUGACUUUGUUAACUUAAACGUGUUACCGGAAGACUGCAGCCCGGUUUGACUCACGUGUUCGGAACUUAUGCGUGUGUAGAACACAGUCAGUGAGGGCAUGUUCAUCAGACAUGACCGAGGUCCGAUAUUGUGUAUGUCAACGAAGAUUGUCUCAAUUAAAGAGGAAGUAAUCAACAGUAAUAUGAAAACUUGAAUGGCAAGAACUGGUAAUCAGUAAGAACAUACGAGCAUAUUCAAGUUGCAGUGUGUGAUGAACGCGAACGUUGUCACAGGCAGUUUUGAAAUAAGAGAACAAUGUUCUUUGGGGGUUUUAGGGUGUGAAUGGCUGACAACGUUCUUUAAUGGAUACGUUGUACAUAAUGGUAUACACAGUUGGUUAAUAGUAGAAACUUCAAGUGAUUCCCCGAUCAACGGACAACCCCAUCUCUUGCACAUUGUGGACAUACGGUACCUGUUGUAAAAAAAUACGUUUAUGCACCUGUGUACAUAAACCUCUGUGUGUGGUGUUGUGUGGUAAAGCUACAUAUGAUGACACGAGUAUGCGCAUUGUUAACUUUUCUUUCACUAAAUUAUAUUGGUAAACGAGUAUGAGUCGUUAGUAGACAGUGUUACAUGCACGAGUGCUAGAACACUCAUGUAAGCAUCCUUUUGUUUGCAUAAUUCCGUAAUGAUAAGAUAGGUAUGUGUCCUUGUGCAAUACCAGAGUUAUAUCAAUAUAUAGUUUUUACAAUAGUUAUGACCAAACUAAACAUCAAUAACAGACACUUUGGUAUUAUAAGAAAGCUUUGCGUGAUGUUAAUCACGGGUUAGCGCCAAUCUCAAACUGGUUCCGGGAAUGGCGUUUGCCUGUUAGUAAUAAAUGCAACUUAAAGCACGUGAAUUUAGAAUGUAUUGGUAUUCAUAUCGAAUGGAAAGGCACAUAGAGCGGGUGUACCUAUUUCCGAACACUUAAGCCACUUAUAAUGAUGUUCGGAAUUACGAUCACUUUCGAUCAAAGGGAGACAAUAAUCAACUAGAUAUGUGCAUAUGAUAUAUUUUAGUCCAAUAUAGAAUUAUAUAAUGGUCCAACCAAAAAGAAAUUAUUUACAAAGCAUGCGGACAUCCAACUGUUCCUUAUUCCGAACAUAAGUUCGUAAUUCCGAACCGAAGUGUUCGUAAUUCCAAACAUGAUGACCUUUUUAAAAUAAAAAUCCCGAUGAUUCCAUUUAAUUGACACAGUUUGAAAAUACCAACUUAGAAACAAGUUCUGUAAUAAAAACGAUUACAUGUAAGUUCGAUAAAUGACAAGGUCGUUAAAAAAAGUAAUAUAGAGCAAUAGAUCUGGAGGUUGCGGUAAAUUUAUAUUUUUAAAAACGUAAACGAAACAAGGAUAUUAAUACGCAUUUAGAUACUUAACAGUUAUUCACGCCCUUUGUCCAGACAUAUUCAACUCUUUUACCUUUUUACCGAACUUUUCAUAUACCAAACUCACUGUCAAUUAGUGAAAAUGCAAAGAACACUGUAAUCCAUUACCACAAUAGGCUUUUUGUUAUUUAUUCAAAUUACACAAAUAAACAUUACAUUUAAAAAGUGAAUUGUGGGACUGACGGAUAAAAUUACAUACGAAUAUUUUGGCGAAAAUCAACCAGUCUCUAUUCAAACCAGGCAGCGUUAAUGUAAGAAGUCGCGUUGAUGUCAUCCACAAGUGUGAAACAUAAUUUUAGUGAUGUUACGUUUAUAAUUUCGGUAACUUGAAACGAAUGAAUGUAUCAUUUUAAGUCCCCAAUAUUUAAUGCUUAAUGGCAUGAGCAUUAAAUACAUAUUAGCUAUCUAAAUACAGACAUCAGUUAAUUUGAUACUCAAUGCAAGUGAUUUCGUUCCAAAUAAUUAUUUUAUGUCUAUUUUACUCAUUUCAUAUUUCAAAUAUAGAUUCUAUCUUGCAAAACGUAGUGUUGCAAAACGCACACUUUUAUUUCUUCAAACUUAAUACAGCCGGGAUUCAAUCAUAAAUUUCGUGAAAUUAUGUACAAAAGCAUGAAACUGUAUUCACCCGGUUUUCGGUAAUAAAUCUUGUGACAACAUGUUUUAAAAAUUAUGUGCUCGUUUCGUUGUAGUGCUUCGUUGCACCCUACUUUGGUCCAUGUGAAUUACCGUGUCGCUAAUGUAGACUAACCACAAUAGUUAUAUCACCCCGAUAAGUUAAUGUGUUUUGCGACUCAAUGCGUAAACAUCAUAACCAGACAGAUCCAAAAAUAUAAAAUUGUAAUUCGAAAUAUGAUGCCUUUAGCCAGCCCUCACAAACCCAGUAUUUAUGUGGGUAGGUCAGUAAUAACAUAAAUGCAGCUGCAGAUGUAGAAUAAAAGGAUCAUGACUCUCGUUAUUAAAGGCUUAAAAAAGACCUAGAAUAUUCUAGGUCUUUGGGUUUAAGCAUCAACUGACAGAAAUCAUCGUCGAUGAUAUGCACCAGGGAAUCUUACUGCUCCACGAACGCGCGGAUGAAUAUAUAGAUUUACAGACAGCAGCCUGUAGUAUAAAGAAGUAGUUCAAAUAAGGUUACGCAUGUUCAAACCGGUAAUUCUAACUCAAAGGUUACAACAGUAAGUUUUAAUUUUCGCAUAUGCAAACUUAAGAGUCUAAAGUUAAGAUGCUCUUUUCAGUACCACUGUAACAUAAUUUUGGUUUGCACUAACAGUCAUCAAAACUGCUAUUUGUAUGCGGACCUUGAAUAAAAACCAUCGUCUUUUUCAUGAGAUCUCUUUGGAAUCUAUUGUUUAACUGUUUCUGUUGGUUUUUUGUUGUUGUUAUUUUCCUUUUCUGUACGAUUAAAAAUAUUAAAACUGAAUUUACA